Molecule: ribosomal RNA, 241 nt
Filed under: uncultured bacterium
Lineage: Bacteria
Description: partial 16S ribosomal RNA
Rfam family: Bacterial small subunit ribosomal RNA
Source: RNAcentral
GAUCAUGGCUCAGGAUGAACGCUAGCUACAGGCUUAACACAUGCAAGUCGAGGGGAAACGAUAUUGGAAGCUUGCUUCCGAUAGGCGUCGACCGGCGCACGGGUGAGUAACGCGUAUCCAACCUGCCCACCACUUGGGGGAUAACCUUGCGAAAGUAAGACUAAUACCCAAUGACGUCUCUAGAAGACAUCUGAAAGAGAUUAAAGAUUUAUCGGUGAUGGAUGGGGAUGCGUCUGAUUAG